RNAcentral lists this ribosomal RNA (649 nucleotides) under uncultured Bacilli bacterium. RNAcentral describes it as "bacterial SSU rRNA". It matches the Rfam family "Bacterial small subunit ribosomal RNA", at positions 79 to 716 of the family's 1533-position model. The record is from RNAcentral. Lineage: Bacteria; Bacillati; Bacillota; Bacilli.
UUGCUCUUCUGGAUGAGUUGCGAACGGGUGAGUAACGCGUAGGUAACCUGCCUGGUAGCGGGGGAUAACUAUUGGAAACGAUAGCUAAUACCGCAUAACAGUAGAUGUUGCAUGACAUUUGCUUAAAAGGUGCAAUUGCAUCACUACCAGAUGGACCUGCGUUGUAUUAGCUAGUUGGCGGGGUAACGGCUCACCAAGGCGACGAUACAUAGCCGACCUGAGAGGGUGAUCGGCCACACUGGGACUGAGACACGGCCCAGACUCCUACGGGAGGCAGCAGUAGGGAAUCUUCGGCAAUGGACGGAAGUCUGACCGAGCAACGCCGCGUGAGUGAAGAAGGUUUUCGGAUCGUAAAGCUCUGUUGUAAGAGAAGAACGAGUGUGAGAGUGGAAAGUUCACACUGUGACGGUAUCUUACCAGAAAGGGACGGCUAACUACGUGCCAGCAGCCGCGGUAAUACGUAGGUCCCGAGCGUUGUCCGGAUUUAUUGGGCGUAAAGCGAGCGCAGGCGGUUAGAUAAGUCUGAAGUUAAAGGCUGUGGCUUAACCAUAGUACGCUUUGGAAACUGUUUAACUUGAGUGCAAGAGGGGAGAGUGGAAUUCCAUGUGUAGCGGUGAAAUGCGUAGAUAUAUGGAGGAACACCGGUGGC